GACGUAGGGCGCGAGCGUUGUCCGGAUUUAUUGGGCGUAAAGAGCUCGUAGGCGGCUUGUCGCGUCGAAUGUGAAAUCUCAGGGCUCAACUCUGACAUUGCAUUCGAUACGGGCAGGCUAGAGUUCGGUAGGGGAGACUGGAAUUCCUGGUGUAGCGGUGAAAUGCGCAGAUAUCCGGAGGAAUACCAGAGGCGAAGGCGGCCAACUGGGCUUGUUCUGACGCUGAGGUGCGAAAGCGUGGGGAGCGAACAGG
Molecule: ribosomal RNA, 253 nt
Filed under: uncultured bacterium
Lineage: Bacteria
Description: partial 16S ribosomal RNA
Rfam family: Bacterial small subunit ribosomal RNA
Source: RNAcentral